GGGACCUGGUGGCGGGCGGUGUCACACUCAACAUCGCCCCGGCUGCAGACAGUUUCUGGCUUUUUCCUCUCAGGGUUGCAAGUGGGAAAUCGGCAGCUCAAUUUCUCUGCUUCCCUCGGCUGCUAAGCCACAGAAGAACUGCUUCUACUGCUGGAGGGUGAGGGCGAGCCUCCAUUCCCCUCCUUCGCCGAGAUUACAUAUGUAGACGCUUGGGACAAGAUAUUUAUCUACCAUAAUUUCUGUGGCAAAAUUAAAGACUUGUCAUGACAAUGAAGAAAGAGACUGAAUUUGUCAUUUUCACCUAAAGAAAAAUGAUAGACAAAAAUCAAACCUGUGCUACAGGACAGGAUUCUAUGCCCUACAUGAGUUGUCUGAUUCACAUAUUUGAAGAAUGGUUUGGAGUGGAGCAAUUGGAGGACUAUUUGAAUUUUGCAAACUAUCUAUUAUGGGUUUUUACACCACUAAUACUUUUAAUACUUCCUUAUUUUACUAUUUUUCUCCUCUACCUUACUAUUAUUUUCUUACACAUUUAUAAGAGGAAGAAUGUGUUAAAAAAAGCCUAUUCUCAUAAUUUAUGGGAUGGUGCAAGGAAGACGGUAGCAACUCUGUGGGAUGGACAUGCAGCAGUUUGGCAUGGCUAUGAAGUUCAUGGAAUGGAAAAAAUACCAGAAGGACCAGCACUUAUAAUUUUUUAUCAUGGAGCUAUUCCCAUAGAUUUUUACUACUUCAUGGCUAAAAUUUUUAUCCAUAAAGGCAGAACCUGCCGAGUAGUAGCUGAUCACUUUGUCUUUAAAAUUCCAGGGUUUAGUUUAUUGCUUGAUGUGUUUUGUGCUCUACAUGGACCAAGAGAAAAAUGUGUUGAAAUUCUGAGGAGUGGUCACUUGUUAGCUAUUUCACCAGGUGGAGUUCGAGAAGCCCUACUUAGUGAUGAAACCUACAACAUCAUAUGGGGUAAUCGUAAAGGCUUCGCUCAGGUUGCAAUUGAUGCAAAAGUGAUGAGGAAACACAGGCACAGAGAGAUGAAGGGAUGGAGGGACCGGGUCACACAGCAAGGCAGAAGCAGAGCAGAACACGCAGUUCAGGACUGCAGGCAACCAGUGCUGUUGCCAUCACUGACUGCAUUUCACACCCAUUAUUCCUAUGUUUACACAAAAUAUACGAGAAGGAUUUAGAUCACUUGGAGGAACAAGGUUAUUUAGGUGGCUUUAUGAAAAAUUCCGCUAUCCAUUUGCUCCAAUGUAUGGAGGUUUUCCAGUGAAGUUACGCACCUAUUUAGGUGAUCCUAUUCCAUAUGACCCAAAGAUAACCGCGGAAGAAUUAGCAGAAAAGACAAAGAAUGCUGUUCAAGCUUUGAUUGAUAAGCAUCAAAGAAUACCGGGAAACAUUAUGAGUGCUUUGUUAGAACGUUUUCAUAAAAGUUAAAAGAUCCACUAGAAGGUGAUUCAAUACAUUUAUAUUAAUAUGUUUGUGUCUAUAGUAUUGUCUUCUAAAUUUUGUAAGUUUUAUAAUCAUGUAUUAUUGUAAAACUUGUGUUAAUAAGCAUCCUUUGCUGAACUCGUUUAAAUUGUAAAUUUUGUUUUAUUUAGUUAUGUCAAAUUUAAUUCAUUACAUGCCUAAUAAUUCUGAAAAUUAUGUUUCCUUUUAUAAAUUCCUAAUAAUGUAUGAUAAACGUAUAGAUUACUAGAAUUAAGUUUAUUAAUAAUAGCAAUUUCAGUUAAACAAGCACUCCUAAAUAAUAUAUCUAGUUUCUGUAGUUAUUGCGCUGAGCUAAUUUUGCAAGACGCCAUAACCUAGGGUUAGAACAGAUGCUUAAGUUAGUAAAAAAGUGCUUUUUUGUCUGCCUUUCAUUUCUUUCAUGACCUUGGGAAAAUCACAUAAUGUUUUUGUGCCUCGAAAAUUCACUUUUGAAAAACAUGUUUAGACUGUGGUAAGGAAUAUUAUCUUAAAUUCUUUGUAUUUGCUGUGAUUGUUAUAGUAGAAUUAAAAUUAUGAUUGAAUUAAUUAAACAAUACCAAGAUCUUUCAUAAGUUUAUGUACAUAUUUUGUUCAUAGGAUGGAUAUUUGAAUUACUCCUUCAGGUAUGAUGUGAAGUUGCCAAGCA
This is an RNA transcript of Phyllostomus discolor (pale spear-nosed bat), 2101 nucleotides long. It is a transcript of the gene named transmembrane protein 68, with no coding region annotated. The transcript is spliced from 9 exons. NCBI's taxonomy places the organism in Eukaryota, Metazoa, Chordata, Mammalia, Chiroptera, Phyllostomidae. The record is from RefSeq and is a predicted model, not a curated record.